GACGAACGCUGGCGGCGUGCUUAACACAUGCAAGUCGAACGGAAAGGCCCUGCUUUUGUUGGGUGCUCGAGUGGCGAACGGGUGAGUAACACGUGAGUAUCCUGCCCUUGACUUUGGGAUAACUUCAGGAAACUGGGGCUCAUACCGGAUAGGAGCUCCUGCUGCAUGGUGGGGGUUGGAAAGUUUCGGCGGUUGGGGAUGGACUCGCGGCUUAUCAGCUUGUUGGUGGGGUAGUGGCUUACCAAGCCUUUGACGGGUAGCCGGCCUUAGAGGGUGACCGGCCACAUUGCGACUGAGAUACGGCCCAGACUGCUACGUGAGGCAGCAGGGGGGAGUAUGGCGCAAUGGGCGGAAGCCUGAUGCAGAAACGCCGCGUGCGGGAUGACGGCCUUCGGGGUGUAAACCGCUGUCGCCUGUGACGAAGCGUGAGUGACGGUAAUGGGUAAAGAAGCACCGGCUAACUACGUG
This 468-nucleotide ribosomal RNA is filed under the name uncultured bacterium. RNAcentral's name for it is "partial 16S ribosomal RNA". It matches the Rfam family "Bacterial small subunit ribosomal RNA", at positions 28 to 507 of the family's 1533-position model. The record is from RNAcentral.